RNAcentral lists this ribosomal RNA (379 nucleotides) under uncultured cyanobacterium. Its description in RNAcentral is "bacterial SSU rRNA". It matches the Rfam family "Bacterial small subunit ribosomal RNA", at positions 376 to 770 of the family's 1533-position model. The record is from RNAcentral. Lineage: Bacteria; Bacillati; Cyanobacteriota.
CGAAAGCCUGACGGAGCAAGACCGCGUGAGGGAGGAAGGCUCUAGGGUUGUAAACCUCUUUUCUCAGGGAAGAAGCUCUGACGGUACCUGAGGAAUCAGCAUCGGCUAACUCCGUGCCAGCAGCCGCGGUAACACGGAGGAUGCAAGCGUUAUCCGGAAUCAUUGGGCGUAAAGCGUCCGCAGGUGGGAGUUCAAGUCGAUUGUCAAAGGCAGUAGCUUAACUACUGAAAGGCAGUGGAAACUGAACAACUAGAGUGCGGUAGGGGUAGAGGGAAUUCCCGGUGUAGCGGUGAAAUGCGUAGAGAUCGGGAAGAACACCAGUGGCGAAAGCGCUCUGCUGGACCGGCACUGACACUGAGGGACGAAAGCUAGGGUAGCG